UCCAUCUUCAACAAUAUUUUGAUGUGAUCUUAUGGCAAAAAAGUUAAUGUGAUCUAUUUCUGUACUAAUACUACUUUAACCUUUGGCUUGUCGGUGAAAACAGUGGGCACGAAGCGCCAUGGGGGAGCUUGGUAGAGUGCAUAGUUGCACAUUAGUACUUCUACACGAAAACACAAACUGCUCUAGCCAUACAUGAGGACGAUAAUUGCAUGAUUGUUUAUAGCUCAAUCCAGUACACUGAGGAAACCGAAAUUCAUAUUGCAAAUGUCUCGGUUUACCUUGUCACAAUGUUCAUGUUAUCACUAGAAGAAUUGGCACUGACUUUGGUGGAUAAAUUUUUAGAUCAUUACCGGCUUCGUUGAUUGUGGCAAGCGAUCGUUGAUAAAUACAACAAAGGUCAUCGGGUACGGCAGACAUUGUUCGGUUGAGAAGGCCUGGGCAUGGGACAUCAGGAGCGACCCACACACUGGCGUAAGGAUGUGACGAUGGGGACAUCAAGUGCAGCUGUACCAGCCAAAAGACCUCACUCCAUUUCUCCAAACUGGCAUGCGAUUCUUAAGAUGUUCCCAUUCAGAAUUGACAUGCGGCCAUCUUCUCUCUACUGUUACUCAAGUUUUUGUCAGCUUGUUCAUUUCUUGAUUGGUGCUUGACAUCACUGGUGCAUGUGGGAAUGCCCUACAGACUGAUGGACAUGAAUCAUAGGAACUGUCGAAGCAUGAAGGGAACAACAAGAUGAACUGGCUUUUAUCGGCAUUCUUGUGUACAUUGAAGAUUUUGGGGCAUUUGGUUGCAUCUGAACUGUCUCUAUUUGAACCUUAGAUUGACGAGUGAUUUGUUGCAUUCUUCACUUGCACAACCUAUCUCUAUUUGAACUAACU
Triticum aestivum (bread wheat) is the source of this 878-nucleotide long non-coding RNA. RefSeq lists it as uncharacterized. The transcript has 4 exons. The record is from RefSeq and is a predicted model, not a curated record. Lineage: Eukaryota; Viridiplantae; Streptophyta; Magnoliopsida; Poales; Poaceae.